RNAcentral lists this ribosomal RNA (427 nucleotides) under uncultured bacterium. RNAcentral describes it as "partial 16S ribosomal RNA". It matches the Rfam family "Bacterial small subunit ribosomal RNA", at positions 355 to 774 of the family's 1533-position model. The record is from RNAcentral.
UGGGGAAUAUUGGACAAUGGGCGAAAGCCUGAUCCAGCCAUGCCGCGUGUGUGAAGAAGGUCUUCGGAUUGUAAAGCACUUUAAGUUGGGAGGAAGGGCAUUAACCUAAUACGUUAGUGUUUUGACGUUACCGACAGAAUAAGCACCGGCUAACUCUGUGCCAGCAGCCGCGGUAAUACAGAGGGUGCAAGCGUUAAUCGGAAUUACUGGGCGUAAAGCGCGCGUAGGUGGUCUGUUAAGUUGGAUGUGAAAGCCCCGGGCUCAACCUGGGAACUGCAUCCAAAACUGGCAAGCUAGAGUACGGUAGAGGGUGGUGGAAUUUCCUGUGUAGCGGUGAAAUGCGUAGAUAUAGGAAGGAACACCAGUGGCGAAGGCGACCACCUGGACUGAUACUGACACUGAGGUGCGAAAGCGUGGGGAGCAAACA